This 446-nucleotide ribosomal RNA is filed under the name uncultured bacterium. RNAcentral describes it as "bacterial SSU rRNA". It matches the Rfam family "Bacterial small subunit ribosomal RNA", at positions 329 to 792 of the family's 1533-position model. The record is from RNAcentral.
UGCCAGACUCCUACGGGAGGCAGCAGUGGGGAAUAUUGCACAAUGGGGGAAACCCUGAUGCAGCAACGCCGCGUGAGUGAAGAAGUAUUUCGGUAUGUAAAGCUCUAUCAGCAGGGAAGAAAAUGACGGUACCUGAGUAAGAAGCCCCGGCUAACUACGUGCCAGCAGCCGCGGUAAUACGUAGGGGGCAAGCGUUAUCCGGAUUUACUGGGUGUAAAGGGAGCGUAGACGGCGAUGCAAGUCUGAAGUGAAAGCCCGGGGCUCAACCCCGGGACUGCUUUGGAAACUGUAUGGCUGGAGUGCUGGAGAGGCAAGCGGAAUUCCUAGUGUAGCGGUGAAAUGCGUAGAUAUUAGGAAGAACACCGGUGGCGAAGGCGGCUUGCUGGACAGUAACUGACGUUGAGGCUCGAAAGCGUGGGGAGCAAACAGGAUUAGAUACCCGCGUA